Molecule: long non-coding RNA, 418 nt
Organism: Salvia splendens (bonfire salvia)
Lineage: Eukaryota; Viridiplantae; Streptophyta; Magnoliopsida; Lamiales; Lamiaceae
Exons: 4
Source: RefSeq, a predicted model, not a curated record
UCCUGAUUGGCAACAAUCCGAAGGGUCUCCCCGAUAAAUCCGAUGCACUGCUUUGGGAUUUAAUAAAAAGGGAAGAAAUACCGACCUCCCUUCAGAAGGGCCGUCGAAUAUCCACGCUUUCUUCUACUCCUCCGAUGUCCAGUCCUUUCGAUAAGUGCUUAUGGAGCACUCUAAUAGCCGCAUGACACGAUUCUUGAAAACCAGAUUCUAAAAAAGAGUUGUGAAGCAGUUGAUCAUGCUACGAGAUUGAAGGAGGAUUCAAUGCUUUUGCUGAGAGUGUUAUCAUACUGGUCAUUUGGAUUCUUUAUGGUUUAUGAACUAGGUGCUGGUUGCAUUACCUGAGAUUAGAAUCUUCCUGGUUGGUGUUUGCGAGAUGAUGAGCUCUGGGAAUCUGGGAAAAUAAAAUCAAACUCAGGGA